Juglans microcarpa x Juglans regia is the source of this 371-nucleotide long non-coding RNA. RefSeq lists it as uncharacterized. NCBI's taxonomy places the organism in Eukaryota, Viridiplantae, Streptophyta, Magnoliopsida, Fagales, Juglandaceae. The record is from RefSeq and is a predicted model, not a curated record. The transcript is spliced from 3 exons.
CUUGGCUAUAAAUAGACUUAACGGUGUAAAUAGAUAACGUGUACAGUAAAACCAGCAGCAAUUAAGCGCUGGAAUCGUGCUGAACAAAGAGUGCUCGGUUGUAACCCUUUUCUAUAUAAAUGAAGGAAAACAAUGGAAAGAGGUAUUCAGACCAAUAUUGACAGGUUGGGGGAUGUUCUUGCUAUACUUGAUAGUCUAUAAAGCUUGGGACUGCUUUGACCAGAAGAUUUAUGAUCUAAUAGUAUUUCCAAGCACCUUUGCCUCGCUGCCUUCUUACCAAAGUUCUCUGUCUUCUGAAAGCAGCUUGUGUUUCUCUGACUGUGUAUCGCAUCAUUAUAUGAUUUGCAACAAAUAUGCUGACUUAUCCCUUU